RNAcentral lists this ribosomal RNA (205 nucleotides) under uncultured Bacillota bacterium. RNAcentral's name for it is "uncultured Firmicutes bacterium partial 16S ribosomal RNA". It matches the Rfam family "Bacterial small subunit ribosomal RNA", at positions 291 to 512 of the family's 1533-position model. The record is from RNAcentral. Lineage: Bacteria; Bacillati; Bacillota.
CUUGAGAGGGUGACCGGCCACAUUGGGACUGAGACACGGCCCAGACUCCUACGGGAGGCAGCAGUUGGGGAAUAUUGCACAAUGGAGGAAACUCUGAUGCAGCGACGCCGCGUGAGUGAAGAAGUAAUUCGUUAUGUAAAGCUCUAUCAGCAGGGAAGAUAAUGACCGUACCUGACUAAGAAGCUCCGGCUAAAUACGUGCCAGC